AGGCUUUUUAGUCUCCUCCAUGGAUGAACAACCUGAUUGAUUAUCUAUUACCAAAUGGUCAGCCCUAAAAACAUACCUUCAGGCAACACUAAAGAUACUCAACAUGCUGUAUUGGUUUGGUUCAUGAGUCUAUUUCCAGAUUCCUGGGAGACUUAACCAUGUCUUAAUGGAAACUUCCUUGGAGCUCCUAAUGUGUAAGUUCUAAGCCACAAUAUUUUGAAGCAAAAGAGUCACUUAUUUGUUCACCAAGGGCAAGAUGAUUUAUGUAGAGCGAGUUGUAAUAAACACUGUUUCAUUUAUCUUCUAUCAUUGCUGUAACUCCUAGAGGGAGUUGAUUCAAAUGCCAAACAAAAAGAAAAACAAAAAGCAAAAAUUAAUCACACCAUGACCCAAUGAAUCACAAUUGUUUAGAAAGUUUGAUGGUUCAAACUGGGACACCAGACUUGCUGGGGACUGUGGAUCUGAAGAGAUCAUGGGAGAAAACACCUGAAUAUGAGCAUCUUGGAGUUGAAAAUAAUUGUGCCGGUGGUAGUCGAGGUAGGGAUUGACACCUACAGGCUGUGUGACUAACAGGGUUUUGCCUUCCCAUAGGCAUCCAUCUGGAACCCUCUCACUUUCAUACCUAAGAAUGUCCCACCAGAAAAAGAACUGAAAGUACAACAUUUAAUGGAAAUGGCAGUGUUGUUCCCUUGGAUAAUGACUUCCUCAUCUGAGUUAAUUUUAACAAACACCUUAAUUUAUAAAGAGCUAUAAAUACAAUUCCAUCAGUGGAGGUAGCGAUGAUAUCUGAAGAGAGAUGCUGUGGUGAGAAUUGGUAUUCUGACCUUCACUGGACACCUCCAGAACCCCAAAGAGUCUUUUCUUCAUAAGCCAAAUCCUAGAAGCCAUGUCCUCUAUAACAGCAGAAGUGCAGCAGGCCAAGAUGAUAGAAACUGAAGAAGCAUGUUGAAUGCCACAUGCCCUGGCUUUUGCUGCUAGGAAACUGGGAACAGCAGGAAGCCAUGUUGCAUCACAUUCACACUUGAAACAAAACAGGAAGAAGUUCUACCGCCUCGAAGCACGUAUAAACAAGCAGAGACAACUCUUCUACUCUCUUCAGUGUCCUGCGUCUAUACAACCCAAGACAAUGGCUCCCCUCGGAGUACUGUGAGUCCUCUGUACUGAAUAAUGCCUCUUCAUUUUGGGAACUACCUGCUCCCCCAGGAGACCCAAGGCUCUCCAAGGUGAUGAAUCCACUAGAAGAACGAAAUGAAUCCAAGCCACGAGGAGUUGCAAAAAUCCCAGGAUGCCUGUCACCCUGUGCUCUCACUUUUAUUACAGAAGAAGCUCUGCUAAAAUAAAGGCCCAGCCCUGAUAUAUCAUUCUCUAAUGCCACAAGAACUGUAUAUAAAACACUAUGAAUCUUUUAA
Rattus norvegicus (Norway rat) is the source of this 1409-nucleotide non-coding RNA. The record is from RefSeq and is a predicted model, not a curated record. NCBI's taxonomy places the organism in Eukaryota, Metazoa, Chordata, Mammalia, Rodentia, Muridae.